This 597-nucleotide ribosomal RNA is filed under the name Trichoderma citrinoviride. RNAcentral describes it as "eukaryotic LSU rRNA". The stretch from base 224 to 377 matches the Rfam family "5.8S ribosomal RNA". The record is from RNAcentral. Lineage: Eukaryota; Fungi; Ascomycota; Sordariomycetes; Hypocreales; Hypocreaceae.
GGCUUCCGGGGCGUCACUCCCAACCCAAUGUGAACGUUACCAAUCUGUUGCCUCGGCGGGAUUCUCUGCCCCGGGCGCGUCGCAGCCCCGGAUCCCAUGGCGCCCGCCGGAGGACCAACUCAAACUCUUUUUUCUCUCCGUCGCGGCCUACGUCGCGGCUCUGUUUUAUUUUUGCUCUGAGCCUUUCUCGGCGACCCUAGCGGGCGUCUCGAAAAUGAAUCAAAACUUUCAACAACGGAUCUCUUGGUUCUGGCAUCGAUGAAGAACGCAGCGAAAUGCGAUAAGUAAUGUGAAUUGCAGAAUUCAGUGAAUCAUCGAAUCUUUGAACGCACAUUGCGCCCGCCAGUAUUCUGGCGGGCAUGCCUGUCCGAGCGUCAUUUCAACCCUCGAACCCCUCCGGGGGGUCGGCGUUGGGGAUCGGCCCCUCACCGGGCCGCCCCCGAAAUACAGUGGCGGUCUCGCCGCAGCCUCUCCUGCGCAGUAGUUUGCACACUCGCACCGGGAGCGCGGCGCGGCCACAGCCGUAAAACACCCCAAACUCUGAAAUGUUGACCUCGGAUCAGGUAGGAAUACCCGCUGAACUUAAGCAUAUCAAAA